Molecule: transfer RNA, 42 nt
Filed under: Cyrtodactylus irregularis
Lineage: Eukaryota; Metazoa; Chordata; Lepidosauria; Squamata; Gekkonidae
Description: tRNA-Cys
Source: RNAcentral
AAGGUGCCGGGGCUUCUCCCGUUUUAAAGAGACGGGAGAAGA